Molecule: ribosomal RNA, 274 nt
Filed under: uncultured bacterium
Lineage: Bacteria
Description: partial 16S ribosomal RNA
Rfam family: Bacterial small subunit ribosomal RNA
Source: RNAcentral
AUACGAAGGGGGCUAGCGUUGUUCGGAAUCACUGGGCGUAAAGCGCGCGUAGGUGGAUCAAUUAGUUGAGGGUGAAAUCCCGGGGCUCAACCUCGGAACUGCCUUCAAUACUAUUGAUCUUGAGACCGAGAGAGGUGAGUGGAAUUCCUAGUGUAGAGGUGAAAUUUGUAGAUAUUAGGAAGAACACCAGUGGCGAAGGCGGCUCACUGGCUCGGUACUGACGCUGAGGCGCGAAAGCGUGGGGAGCAAACAGGAUUAGAAACCCUAGUAGUCC